UUGGUGUAAUUUGGGGUAGCAGUGGUACAUAUAUGGAUCCUAAAUGAUAACAGGUUGAUGCCUUUAUCACAUAUAUGAUCGAACAACAAAUUUAUAUUAGGUGACUUGCUUAAACUUUUUUGUUCAGAUGCUUAUCUGUUCUGUCAAAUAGGUAGACAUGCUUGGAUUGGAUGCAUAUCUCGGUUGAGGCUACUUUGGUGCUUUGCUUUACAUGAUCAUUGCUUCACUUGUUUGCUGAUGAUGGAACAAUCGUUGCAAAAUCAAGGGAUGAUUCUGAGCCUCCUUUGGUUAUUACUUGGACGGAUUUGAAUAUGUAGCUAGUGCAGUAUUUAAACUCAAGGUAUCGUAGGUGAGUUUCUCCACAUGUAAAGCUUUCUUAUUAGAUAUAAAGUUCAGUUUGCAUUGGACACAAAAAAGAAUUACUUGUCGCUGUGUGUAUGUGUCUGAUGUGGAGUAUAAGUUAUUUAUCUUUCAUGUGUUGCUCUUGGAGGCUACAACUACUGUCAGCAUGUUUUUUUUAAUGUUUCUAUCAAUAUUGCUAUAGCUUAGCAGAGGCUGCAGCUGCUUGCUAUAUUUGGCUGUUGUGGCAUUAUGUGUAACACACCCCACUACUUAUGGUGCAUGGAGAUGGUGCCUUCCUCUGCAUGAAUGAAUUUGCAAGGCAUCCACAUGCUGACAGAUUUUUGUGUCUCGAGGUGUGAAGUUUUGUCGCCUUUGCAAGGUGUGAUGGUCUCAAGCAUCAACAUGGGAUCAAAUGAACAAAGAGAACCAUGUGUAGCAUCAUGGGAUGCAUGGUGCAACAGGAUGUAGAUAUGUUAACAAAACAAGGAGGUUUACUAAAGCAAGUUGUAUAUCUACAGGAGUAGUAGUACCUCACAUAUGCAUAUUAACUAGUAAGAACAACAUAUGAUAGUAAUAACAAUAGAUCUUUAGUAAGAGCAUAAUCUGAAUUGCUUAUCAGGUAACAGAAAAUAAUAUAUUACUACUAAGAACAAAUCUGCUUGGUUCUAUUUCUAAUCAUUGUGUAAUUUUUGGCAACAUGAAAUUCUGUGUAAUUAGCUUCUAUAUUUGUGUGUUUUGCUCAAAGGCUGAUGAUAUUUUGUUU
Molecule: long non-coding RNA, 1105 nt
Organism: Sorghum bicolor (sorghum)
Lineage: Eukaryota; Viridiplantae; Streptophyta; Magnoliopsida; Poales; Poaceae
Exons: 3
Source: RefSeq, a predicted model, not a curated record